UACGUAGGGGGCAAGCGUUAUCCGGAAUUACUGGGUGUAAAGGGUGAGUAGGCGGCAUGGUAAGCCAGAUGUGAAAGCCUUGGGCUUAACCCGAGGAUUGCAUUUGGAACUAUCAAGCUAGAGUACAGGAGAGGAAAGCGGAAUUCCUAGUGUAGCGGUGAAAUGCGUAGAUAUUAGGAAGAACACCAGUGGCGAAGGCGGCUUUCUGGACUGAAACUGACACUGAGGCUCGAAAGCGUGGGGAGCAAACAGG
Molecule: ribosomal RNA, 253 nt
Filed under: uncultured bacterium
Lineage: Bacteria
Description: partial 16S ribosomal RNA
Rfam family: Bacterial small subunit ribosomal RNA
Source: RNAcentral